ACAUUUGCGUGAAAUUUUGGUGGAUGCAAACCUCAAGUUUUGCAUGCUUAAAAGGGAAUCAGGUGUAAGUCCUGAACAGUCCCCGCUGCUGUAAUCCGACUUUUGGAUAAACUGUUGUUUAAAAGAAGUAAGGCUGAUAAUAUACCACUGUUAAUGAGAGACUUAAUGGGAAGGUAUCAGCUUUUCGGGAAGUCAGAAGACCUGCCAAAGUAAUGGUUCCACU
Molecule: non-coding RNA, 223 nt
Filed under: marine bacterium AO1-C
Lineage: Bacteria; Pseudomonadati; Bacteroidota; Cytophagia; Cytophagales; Cytophagaceae
Also listed under: 1 other name
Source: RNAcentral